RNAcentral lists this ribosomal RNA (253 nucleotides) under uncultured bacterium. RNAcentral's name for it is "partial 16S ribosomal RNA". It matches the Rfam family "Bacterial small subunit ribosomal RNA", at positions 524 to 776 of the family's 1533-position model. The record is from RNAcentral.
GACGAACCGUGCGAACGUUGUUCGGAAUCACUGGGCUUAAAGGGCGCGUAGGCGGGCAGGCGAGUCCGGGGUGAAAUCUUUCGGCUCAACCGGAAAAGGGCCUCGGAGACCGGCUGCCUCGAGGAAGGUAGGGGCACGCGGAACUUCCGGUGGAGCGGUGAAAUGCGUUGAUAUCGGAAGGAACGCCGGUGGCGAAAGCGGCGUGCUGGACCUUUACUGACGCUGAGACGCGAAAGCCAGGGGAGCGAACGGG